This 595-nucleotide long non-coding RNA is filed under the name Rattus norvegicus (Norway rat). RNAcentral describes it as "long non-coding RNA NONRATT005962". Lineage: Eukaryota; Metazoa; Chordata; Mammalia; Rodentia; Muridae. The record is from RNAcentral.
AAAAAUGUGUAGGCCAAAGUGUGCAUAACCUAUUGGGCUGUGGGUGUGAGGGGAGGUGUAGCAAGCAAGUGGUGCCUACAUUGUGUUUUGGGAUUAUCAUGGGAAAGGAGCUUGUGUGCAGAAACAGCCACUUAAGGGGUAUUGGGUGUUUGCGUGAAUUCUCAUCCUUGCUGGCAGGUGAUGGGCACCUCAUGGUGUGUGAACAUUGUGUGGAGAGCGUUUCCUUAGUUAAUAAGUGCUGCUCUUUUCUUUGGUCCUUAGUACAUCCUGCAGUGGUGAUUCGACAACGAAAGUCAUAUCGAAGAAAAGACGGGGUGUUCCUUUAUUUUGAAGAUAAUGCAGGGGUCAUAGUAAACAAUAAAGGCGAGAUGAAAGGUAUGAAGGGUUAGGCCAUCACUGUGUGUGUCUGCUGGGUGAUUCGGCACAGACAGGGACCCUGUCUGACCUGUCUUCUCUUCAUGCAGGUUCUGCUAUCACAGGUCCAGUUGCAAAGGAGUGUGCAGACUUGUGGCCCAGGAUUGCAUCCAAUGCAGGAAGCAUUGCCUGAUUCUCCAGUGUGUUUGUAAAAUAUAUUCAUUAAAGUCUUCUCUCUGAG